RNAcentral lists this ribosomal RNA (460 nucleotides) under uncultured bacterium. RNAcentral describes it as "partial 16S ribosomal RNA". It matches the Rfam family "Bacterial small subunit ribosomal RNA", at positions 338 to 795 of the family's 1533-position model. The record is from RNAcentral.
CCUACGGGAGGCAGCAGUGAGGAAUAUUGGUCAAUGGACGGAAGUCUGAACCAGCCAUGCCGCGUGCAGGAAGACGGCUCUAUGAGUUGUAAACUGCUUUUGUACAAGGGUAAACCUGAAUACGUGUAUUCAGCUGAAAGUACUUUACGAAUAAGGAUCGGCUAACUCCGUGCCAGCAGCCGCGGUAAUACGGAGGAUCCAAGCGUUAUCCGGAUUUAUUGGGUUUAAAGGGUGCGUAGGCGGAUUGUUAAGUUAGAGGUGAAAUGUCCGAGCUUAACUCGGGAACUGCCUCUAAUAAUGGUGAUCUAGAGAGUAGAUGCGGUAGGCGGAAUGUGUGGUGUAGCGGUGAAAUGCUUAGAGAUCAUGCAGAACCCCGAUUGCGAAGGCAGCUUACCAAUCUACAUCUGACGUUGAGGCACGAAAGCGUGGGUAGCAAACAGGAUUAGAUACCCGGGUAGUC